Scylla paramamosain (green mud crab) is the source of this 4311-nucleotide long non-coding RNA. RefSeq lists it as uncharacterized. The transcript is spliced from 7 exons. The record is from RefSeq and is a predicted model, not a curated record. Lineage: Eukaryota; Metazoa; Arthropoda; Malacostraca; Decapoda; Portunidae.
AGAGCAUGUGAUUGAUAGGUUAGGUUAGGUUAGGUUAGCUAGUUAGUUAGAUACAUACUAGGAAAUAUAGAAAUUGACUGGGUUAAGAGUGAGAGAGGAGUUAGGCAAGACUGUAUUUUGUCACCAACCUUUUUUUUAGCUUGUAUACAGAAGAGUUAGCAGCCAGAAUGAGAAAAAUGAAUAUGGGAGUGAGUGUGGGGAAUGAUGAUAUGUAUGUUUUUUUUUUUUUAUGCAGAUGAUGCAGUGGUUAUGAGUGAAUUGGCAGAUGAGCUUCAAAGUUUGUUUGAUGUUAUAGAUGGAUAUGGAAGGGACUUUGGUGUGAGAUUUAGCAGUGAGAAAAGCAAGGUCAUCAUUGUGAAUAGGUCAGAGGAUGAGAGAAAUUCAUUGUGGAGACUGGGAGAAAAUGUGUUGCAACAGAAAAAUGAAUACACGUACCUGCGAAUGUGGAUGAGUCCGAAUGGCUGUGUGAAGACAAAGAAUGAAAAGAUAGGCAUGGUGAACCAGUGGGUGGGUCGUCUAGGAAAUGCAGCAAGGAUAAGAACGAGUAAAUAUGACGUGCUGCAAGAAGUCUGGAAGAGCGUGGCUGUUCCGAGCAUUAUGUAUGGUAUGGAUGUGAUUGUGUGGAAUGAAAAUGAAUUAGAAAAGUUAGAAGUAGGACAGAAUAGAGUAGCAAGGAUGGCACUUAAUGCACCAAGGUAUGCGGCGAUAGAGGCCUUGAGAGGAGGACAUGGGUAGGAGCACUUUUAGAGAGAGACAUGCAAAAGCAACCUUGAUGCACAAAGCUAGAUUUGAGGGAAUGGAUGAUGCGAGACUAGUAAGAAAGGUGUUUCUGUGGAAUGGUAGGAGUAGCAGGUGGGGGAAGAAGUGUGUUCAGAUGGUAGUAAAGGGUGGUUUGGAAAGUGGUUGGGCUUUUCAGCGAUUUGAUGGGAAGGCAUGUUGAGAGUGACUGGAGUAUGAUUGUCAGAAAUGGGGAUGGUUUAGAAUGGGAUGUAAGAAAGUGGAAAAAUGAGAUAGAUAGAGUGGUGAAGCAUGUGGGAUUGAGUGAAUGGAAGAAUAAGAUGGAACAUAAGAGUACUUUGGAGUGGUAUAGAGAGAAAAAAGGCCCCAAUGUAUGAAAAGUGGUAUGAGGGAAGCCCGGGCGGUGAUCUUUUCCGAGCGAGGGCAGUAUAUGGAUGUCUACGCAAGGAGUUACAGAUGGUCGAGUCCCACAGCAAGGUGUGCCAGAUGUGUGACAUGGGAGAGGAUUAGACGGUGAAGCACGUGGUGCUGGAGUGUGUGAAGUAUGCCAGAGACAGGAAUGAGAUGAUGCAAGUGGUGCUUAGGGAAUUGGGGCAUGCUAGAGUGGAGAAGACAGGAAGGGAAUGGAUGGUAUUGCUGCUGGGACUGUGGGGAGACGAAUGAAAGGAUGAUUGAGGCUGUGAAAGAGUUCCUGGAGAAAAUGUGACGUGCUAGAUGUAGGAACUAGUGGUGUGAUAGAUACUGUAUGACUCUGUAUGCCGUUUCCUGUUUGUCGUUCUUUUUUUCCCCAACAGGAGUGUCGAUACAAAGGCAUGGCUUGGAAGGAAUCCUGAGCCUCCUGUAAGAUCAAGGUCAAGAUCCUGAACUAGCAAAGAUAAAUGAGAAGAAUAAAUGUAGGGAUACCUAUUGGCCUGGACAAUGCUGGGAAGACAACAUUGGUGAAGAGAUUCUGUGACAAGGACAUCAGCACCAUCUCCUCUGCAUACAGCUCCAACAUCAAGACUGUUGAGCAUGUCAUUGAUAAAUAUGAAGCUACUGGUGGAACUACUUUGAGUGCACUGACGUCCUUAUCUAGGUGGUGGACAGUGCUGAUGGAAACCACAUGAGAGACUGUCAGGGGAAACUGAAGAAACUGGCGGCAAGUGCAUCCAGAAGCAGUGCAUGUGUGACGGCAUCAAUGGCUGCAGUAGUGGAGAGGAUGAAUUGGUGGAGCUGUGUGGCACUGAUGAGUGCCUUGAGAAGAAUGACAUUGAUGAGUGUGUGGUGCCCGGGGUCCUGCUCCCAAUAGUGCAUUAACACCACUGGUGGCUUCCACUGCUCCUGUCAGCCUGGCCACCACUGUGGCUCUUCCAACUACACACACUGCAAGGCUGAUUCUGGCAAUCCUUAUCCCAUCCCCCAUAGAGAAGGAGGAGGAGAACUACAAUUACGCUUGCACUCUCACUAACCUUUGCUACGACAUUUGGAUCCUGAGACUGAAGGAUGGAGAAGUGACCACCCUUGUCAAGGAUGCCAGGAGAGCCACUGCUUUCAACUUCCAGUAUAAAACCAACCAGAUCGUUUGGUGCAACAACAAGGACAAGAAGAUCAAGAGGUGAAUCGGGGAAUUGCAUGACACAGUGAAACAAAGACUAGAAGGAAGGGUCUUGAAAUUGAACUGUAUAUGCUGAGCUGCAUUGUUAGUACAAUCAUUUAGUGCAACAACAAGGACAAGAUAAUUAAGAGGUGACCAGGAGAAGAUUGCAUGAUGCCACAAAGGAAGAAAGACUAGAAGGAAGGGUUUGUCUUGAAAUUGAACUGUAUAUGCUUAGCUGCAGUGUUAAUACAGUAAUUUAGUGCAACAAUAAGGAAAAGAAGAUCAAGAGAGCCCACAUGAGCAGCCCAGAGAUUCCUUAGCUGCUGGUGGAGAAGAAUGAGAUGACAGUGGAUGGUCUUGCAGUUGACUGGAUCCAUGGGAACAUUUACUUCAUAGACAUCUUGGCAAACAAGGUGUGGUCAAAGGGACAGGAGGAGGAGGGGGGAUUCUCAGAAAUGUACCAAAGAAGUGUUGAAGGUUGGCCACAAAUCUUCAUUACUGGUGUAGUGUAUUUUAUAGACCAUUUGUAGAUUUUGUAGACAGAUUUGUAGGUGUGAAGUGGGUGUUUUUUUUGCAAUGUCCUAUUUACAUCUGCAAAAGACAGUGAUAUGUAGAAGUUGUGCAUAGCAUUGUGACAUGAAUGUACAGUGAAUAUAUGUAUAUAGUAUUUGAAAGAGGAAAUUGUAGACCAAGAGAGGAAAGUAACCUCUUGAAACAUGAUUCCUCUGAUCAUUACUCAUCAUCCUGUCAACCAUCAUGGUCGUUCAUGUGUUAAGGACCAAAUGACCAGUGUAUUCACUCCAUGCUGGAGUUCACCAAUGAUAUCACGGCAGAAACACGUGAAGAUAAUGUUCCUUGUAAUGAGAGGCUGUUUUCAUAGUGAUGGGCUGUAACAAGCAUGCCAGCUAGUCACACAUCAACAACUUGUCUAUAAAUUUCUUGUGGCCAUGUUGUUACAGUAGAUUAGUGAGUAGUUCUUAAGGGUAGUAGAUGAGUGUUUCUGUUCCUGUUGCAGGGUGUGACAUACAUACAAGGACAGCGUUCCAUGUGGCUUUGUGUAGUGGCAAGAUUUGGUGAGCUGAAGAAUCUGUUCUCUGUUGUGUGUCUCAAGUCUAGAUCACAAAUGUGUUCCUAUUUAUUUAUUUUUUUUUUUUUAUCUGAGGUAAAGCACAAAGGUAUUGUCAAGUGUAUCAUAAGAUGAUGUGACACACUGCUGGCAAAUGUGAGUCUUUCAGUGCAAUACUUAACUUAUGCUUCUGGCCAGUGUCUUGUCACAUGCUGCAGGUUUUUUUUUACCUGUAUUUAUUUUUUAUAUCUAGUGAUAUGAUAACUUGUGAGUGAUACUUCCAUACAUAUAUUUGAUAAGGUUGCACCGUGUUGGUUGUAUUAAUGUCCUUAGGGAUUAUGGUACUUUGAGUCAGAUUAUGUUAGAUUAGUGUUCUUAAACACACACAGGCAGGGAGAGGAAGAAAAGAGGCUGAGUGGAGUGAUGUGGUCAGGAAGGAGCAGGUGGAGUUGGUUGGGGAAGAGGAGAAGGGAUAAGGUGAUGUACAUAUCUUGGAGUAGUGGGACACACACACACACACACACAAUUAAUCUAGAAAAUAGAUAAAUAAACCCAGUGAGAAGGAGUGGUAGCCGUCUUUGUUUUCAGUUUAGGUGCCCCCAGCCCCCAUGAUGGUUUGUCAGAUUCUGGCCCAAUUCCAGUAUUGUUUCUAUUUUCUGAACUGAUUUGUUUUUGGCUUUUAAGUAAUUUUUUAUGGUUUCUAAAAAUAUUUACUGAUGUUUUAAGUGUUUUUCAUAUUUGUGUUAUGGGGUUGUUUGUGUCUAAAUAACCAUUGCUUUUUCACUUUUUUUUUUUGUUAUAAAAAAAAACAUCUAGUUGAGAUUUUACUGCUUCUAAAAAUACUUCAUAGUUUUUAAAGUUAUUCCUGACCAUUUAAAUAUGUGGACUUUUAGUGAUUUGUAGGCACGUUAAAAGUAAAAAAAUAGUAUGA